This 210-nucleotide long non-coding RNA is filed under the name Mytilus galloprovincialis (Mediterranean mussel). The record is from RNAcentral. Lineage: Eukaryota; Metazoa; Mollusca; Bivalvia; Mytilida; Mytilidae.
UACAAAUAUGAAAUGAGAUUUUUGAUGAAUUAUUUAUACAUGUAGUAUAGAAGACUAUAGUUAUGACGUUUCCUGCAUGUGAUAUGAAAAAAAAUGAAAGUCGAAACUCAUUGUUCUUAUUUACAACACUCUGAUGAACAGAAAACUACAGAUUCCGGAAGCUGUACGCUAACAUGCUGUUACUCUUGAUCUAUUAAUAUCCCCCUCCCC